Molecule: long non-coding RNA, 557 nt
Organism: Zophobas morio
Lineage: Eukaryota; Metazoa; Arthropoda; Insecta; Coleoptera; Tenebrionidae
Exons: 3
Source: RefSeq, a predicted model, not a curated record
UUUUCUUCAGAGUGACUGUCCAUAAUUAAAGUGUAAAAUCUACAACAAAGAAAUGAUGAAUAAAUCACACGAGUGCAACACGAUCGAUCAGUUAGCAAAAAUGCGUCCACUCGGCGAACGACUAUUCUCAUGUUUUUUGAACGUUUACUAUUAGCAUUUGUAACGCCUCUGGUGAAGACUUGUGUCAAUUUCGGUCUGCUCUCCCCUACUACAGACCAAUAGCAGCUAAUGGCUAGCAAUUCAUCUGCGUCAACUUACCAAUUAUAUCUGCAGCCACAUUUCAUCAGGAAUGCUUGGUAUUUUUAUUUCGCAUGAAAGAGAAACCCCUCGAAGCGGCGUCGCAAUGGAUUCCAGAAAGACCUCGAUUGCGAAACAUCGAGAACGGAAUAUAGGUUUAAAUGGAGGCCACCUUUGGGAACGAGAUUAUUCACUCAUCAAGUCGAGUCCAGUGAGUGUCGAGAAAAUCCAGACAAGUUGUGCCGGAAUUCUUUUGUACAUAAUCGCUGAUAGUUAGUUGUGUAAAUUGGAGUUAUUAAAAAUUAAAACUGUUAAUAAAA